This is a long non-coding RNA of Stomoxys calcitrans (stable fly), 717 nucleotides long. RefSeq lists it as uncharacterized. NCBI's taxonomy places the organism in Eukaryota, Metazoa, Arthropoda, Insecta, Diptera, Muscidae. The transcript is spliced from 2 exons. The record is from RefSeq and is a predicted model, not a curated record.
UUUUUCAAAUUGCUUAGACGCUACCGUAAAGUGAAAAAUAUUUGAGAUUUUUUAUUUCAAUCGAUUUUAAAAUAGCGGCAUGUGUUAAGCACGAUAAUGUUGCGUACAAAGGAGAAGGCGAGACAUUCAUGGUUCAGCAUCCAUUAUUCCAAACACCAAGAGAAUGAAGAAUAAGUUCAAGUUGAAAAUUGUCUCAUCCAAUGUAAAAUGUAUGGUGAUAAAUGUUGACAAAAAAAGAAAUUCAAAAAUUCCCCGUUGACAAUGCACGUCAGAGGACUAAGAAAAAAAAACGCACAAUAUGAGUGAGCGACAAUGUUGCUGCAAGGCGGUAAAAACUCAAAUGCCAAAAACAGAGAACGUAUGGCAAAAACCAAGAAAAAUAAAUAAAUAUGCACUUGUAUCCGGUAAAGACAACGGCUAUGACAUCUAUUCCGCCCGUGGCAACGAAAAAUCCCCAAGCAGACAGAUUUAAUAACGGCAGAGAUUUUUCAUAUUUCUUUUUUUUUUUGUUUUUUUCUUUGGGGAAAUGGUUUUUGUUUCAAGAAAAUACUUUAACAAAGUAGGCGAUAAUGCUGAUUACGGCAAUUUCGAAGGUAUUUCCGAUCUUGGCAGUAUUAGAUUUUUCUUUUUCUUUUUUUUUGUUUUGUUAUAAAUUUAUUUUUGCCAUACUCUUUUAUAACAAUUUAAUUGUAAUAAAUUAUAACUUUAACAAUUUUA